This 200-nucleotide ribosomal RNA is filed under the name uncultured bacterium. Its description in RNAcentral is "partial 16S ribosomal RNA". It matches the Rfam family "Bacterial small subunit ribosomal RNA", at positions 28 to 253 of the family's 1533-position model. The record is from RNAcentral.
GAUGAACAUUGGCGGCAUGCUUAACACAUGCAAGUCGCACGCACCUUCGGGUGAGUGGCGCACGGGUGCGUAACACGUAGGUGAUCUGCCCUGAAGUGGGGAAUAACCACGAGAAAUCGUGGCUAAUACCGCAUAGUCUCCGCAAGGAGUAAAGCAGCAAUGCGCUUUAGGAGGAGCCUGCGGCCUAUCAGCUAGUUGGU